This is a non-coding RNA of Triticum aestivum (bread wheat), 125 nucleotides long. The record is from Rfam. Lineage: Eukaryota; Viridiplantae; Streptophyta; Magnoliopsida; Poales; Poaceae.
GAAAUACUUUCUCCGUCCAGAAAUACUUGUUAGAGAAAUAGAUAUAUCUAGAUGUAUUUUAGUUAUAAAUAGAUUCAUUUUUAUCCAUUUCUUCGAUAUGUAUUUUUGGACGGAGGGAGUACUUG